This 72-nucleotide transfer RNA is filed under the name Camelus bactrianus (Bactrian camel). It matches the Rfam family "tRNA". From Rfam's summary of the family: Transfer RNA (tRNA) molecules are approximately 80 nucleotides in length. Their secondary structure includes four short double-helical elements and three loops (D, anti-codon, and T loops). Lineage: Eukaryota; Metazoa; Chordata; Mammalia; Artiodactyla; Camelidae. The record is from Rfam by way of RNAcentral. RNAcentral also lists the same sequence under 2 other names.
GAGGGUAUAGCUCAGUGUUAGAGUGCAUGCUUAGCACACAUGAGAUCAUGGGCUCAAUUCCCAGUACUUCCA